UUAAAUUGAAGAGUUUGAUCAUGGCUCAGAUUGAACGCUGGCGGCAGGCCUAACACAUGCAAGUCGAACGGUAGCACAGAGAGCUUGCUCUCGGGUGACGAGUGGCGGACGGGUGAGUAAUGUCUGGGAAACUGCCUGAUGGAGGGGGAUAACUACUGGAAACGGUAGCUAAUACCGCAUAAUGUCGCAAGACCAAAGAGGGGGACCUUCGGGCCUCUUGCCAUCAGAUGUGCCCAGAUGGGAUUAGCUAGUAGGUGGGGUAACGGCUCACCUAGGCGACGAUCCCUAGCUGGUCUGAGAG
Molecule: ribosomal RNA, 301 nt
Filed under: Enterobacter cloacae
Lineage: Bacteria; Pseudomonadati; Pseudomonadota; Gammaproteobacteria; Enterobacterales; Enterobacteriaceae
Description: partial 16S ribosomal RNA
Rfam family: Bacterial small subunit ribosomal RNA
Source: RNAcentral